GACGAACGCUGGCGGCGCGCUUAACACAUGCAAGUCGAACGGAAAGGCCUGCUUUCCCUUGUGGAUUGCGGGUACUCGAGUGGCGAACGGGUGAGUAACACGUGAGUGAUCUGCCCCCAACUUGGGUAUAAGCCUGGGAAACUGGGUCUAAUUCCCGAUAGGACUGCAGGGUGGUGCCUGUGGUGGAAAACGAUUUUCUAGUGGUUGGGGAUGAGCUCGCGGCCUAUCAGCUUGUUGGUGGGGUAAUGGCCUACCAAGGCGGCGACGGGUAGCCGGCCUAAGAGGGUGGACGGGCACAUUGGGACUGAGAUACGGCCCAGACUCCUACGGGAGGCAGCAGUGGGGAAUAUUGCACAAUGGGCGGAAGCCUGAUGCAGCGACGCCGCGUGGGGGAUGACGGCCUUCGGGUUGUAAACUCCUUUCGACCGCGAGGAAGCCACCUGGUUGGAAGGGUGGUGACGGUAGUGGUAGAAGAAGCACCGGCUAACUACGUG
RNAcentral lists this ribosomal RNA (494 nucleotides) under uncultured bacterium. Its description in RNAcentral is "partial 16S ribosomal RNA". It matches the Rfam family "Bacterial small subunit ribosomal RNA", at positions 28 to 507 of the family's 1533-position model. The record is from RNAcentral.